Molecule: ribosomal RNA, 2755 nt
Filed under: Staphylococcus aureus
Lineage: Bacteria; Bacillati; Bacillota; Bacilli; Caryophanales; Staphylococcaceae
Description: 23S ribosomal RNA
Rfam family: Bacterial large subunit ribosomal RNA
Source: RNAcentral
UUAAGUUAUUAAGGGCGCACGGUGGAUGCCUUGGCACUAGAAGCCGAUGAAGGACGUUACUAACGACGAUAUGCUUUGGGGAGCUGUAAGUAAGCUUUGAUCCAGAGAUUUCCGAAUGGGGAAACCCAGCAUGAGUUAUGUCAUGUUAUCGAUAUGUGAAUACAUAGCAUAUCAGAAGGCACACCCGGAGAACUGAAACAUCUUAGUACCCGGAGGAAGAGAAAGAAAAUUCGAUUCCCUUAGUAGCGGCGAGCGAAACGGGAAGAGCCCAAACCAACAAGCUUGCUUGUUGGGGUUGUAGGACACUCUNNNNNNNNNNNUACGGAGUUACAAAGGACGACAUUAGACGAAUCAUCUGGAAAGAUGAAUCAAAGAAGGUAAUAAUCCUGUAGUCGAAAAUGUUGUCUCUCUUGAGUGGAUCCUGAGUACGACGGAGCACGUGAAAUUCCGUCGGAAUCUGGGAGGACCAUCUCCUAAGGCUAAAUACUCUCUAGUGACCGAUAGUGAACCAGUACCGUGAGGGAAAGGUGAAAAGCACCCCGGAAGGGGAGUGAAAUAGAACCUGAAACCGUGUGCUUACAAGUAGUCAGAGCCCGUUAAUGGGUGAUGGCGUGCCUUUUGUAGAAUGAACCGGCGAGUUACGAUUUGAUGCAAGGUUAAGCAGUAAAUGUGGAGCCGUAGCGAAAGCGAGUCUGAAUAGGGCGUUUAGUAUUUGGUCGUAGACCCGAAACCAGGUGAUCUACCCUUGGUCAGGUUGAAGUUCAGGUAACACUGAAUGGAGGACCGAACCGACUUACGUUGAAAAGUGAGCGGAUGAACUGAGGGUAGCGGAGAAAUUCCAAUCGAACCUGGAGAUAGCUGGUUCUCUCCGAAAUAGCUUUAGGGCUAGCCUCAAGUGAUGAUUAUUGGAGGUAGAGCACUGUUUGGACGAGGGGCCCCUCUCGGGUUACCGAAUUCAGACAAACUCCGAAUGCCAAUUAAUUUAACUUGGGAGUCAGAACAUGGGUGAUAAGGUCCGUGUUCGAAAGGGAAACAGCCCAGACCACCAGCUAAGGUCCCAAAAUAUAUGUUAAGUGGAAAAGGAUGUGGCGUUGCCCAGACAACUAGGAUGUUGGCUUAGAAGCAGCCAUCAUUUAAAGAGUGCGUAAUAGCUCACUAGUCGAGUGACACUGCGCCGAAAAUGUACCGGGGCUAAACAUAUUACCGAAGCUGUGGAUUGUCCUUUGGACAAUGGUAGGAGAGCGUUCUAAGGGCGUUGAAGCAUGAUCGUAAGGACAUGUGGAGCGCUUAGAAGUGAGAAUGCCGGUGUGAGUAGCGAAAGACGGGUGAGAAUCCCGUCCACCGAUUGACUAAGGUUUCCAGAGGAAGGCUCGUCCGCUCUGGGUUAGUCGGGUCCUAAGCUGAGGCCGACAGGCGUAGGCGAUGGAUAACAGGUUGAUAUUCCUGUACCACCUAUAAUCGUUUUAAUCGAUGGGGGGACGCAGUAGGAUAGGCGAAGCGUGCGAUUGGAUUGCACGUCUAAGCAGUAAGGCUGAGUAUUAGGCAAAUCCGGUACUCGUUAAGGCUGAGCUGUGAUGGGGAGAAGACAUUGNGUCUUCGAGUCGUUGAUUUCACACUGCCGAGAAAAGCCUCUAGAUAGAAAAUAGGUGCCCGUACCGCAAACCGACACAGGUAGUCAAGAUGAGAAUUCUAAGGUGAGCGAGCGAACUCUCGUUAAGGAACUCGGCAAAAUGACCCCGUAACUUCGGGAGAAGGGGUGCUCUUUAGGGUUAACGCCCAGAAGAGCCGCAGUGAAUAGGCCCAAGCGACUGUUUAUCAAAAACACAGGUCUCUGCUAAACCGUAAGGUGAUGUAUAGGGGCUGACGCCUGCCCGGUGCUGGAAGGUUAAGAGGAGUGGUUAGCUUCUGCGAAGCUACGAAUCGAAGCCCCAGUAAACGGCGGCCGUAACUAUAACGGUCCUAAGGUAGCGAAAUUCCUUGUCGGGUAAGUUCCGACCCGCACGAAAGGCGUAACGAUUUGGGCACUGUCUCAACGAGAGACUCGGUGAAAUCAUAGUACCUGUGAAGAUGCAGGUUACCCGCGACAGGACGGAAAGACCCCGUGGAGCUUUACUGUAGCCUGAUAUUGAAAUUCGGCACAGCUUGUACAGGAUAGGUAGGAGCCUUUGAAACGUGAGCGCUAGCUUACGUGGAGGCGCUGGUGGGAUACUACCCUAGCUGUGUUGGCUUUCUAACCCGCACCACUUAUCGUGGUGGGAGACAGUGUCAGGCGGGCAGUUUGACUGGGGCGGUCGCCUCCUAAAAGGUAACGGAGGCGCUCAAAGGUUCCCUCAGAAUGGUUGGAAAUCAUUCAUAGAGUGUAAAGGCAUAAGGGAGCUUGACUGCGAGACCUACAAGUCGAGCAGGGUCGAAAGACGGACUUAGUGAUCCGGUGGUUCCGCAUGGAAGGGCCAUCGCUCAACGGAUAAAAGCUACCCCGGGGAUAACAGGCUUAUCUCCCCCAAGAGUUCACAUCGACGGGGAGGUUUGGCACCUCGAUGUCGGCUCAUCGCAUCCUGGGGCUGUAGUCGGUCCCAAGGGUUGGGCUGUUCGCCCAUUAAAGCGGUACGCGAGCUGGGUUCAGAACGUCGUGAGACAGUUCGGUCCCUAUCCGUCGUGGGCGUAGGAAAUUUGAGAGGAGCUGUCCUUAGUACGAGAGGACCGGGAUGGACAUACCUCUGGUGUACCAGUUGUCGUGCCAACGGCAUAGCUGGGU